Molecule: ribosomal RNA, 384 nt
Filed under: Enneapterygius etheostoma
Lineage: Eukaryota; Metazoa; Chordata; Actinopteri; Blenniiformes; Tripterygiidae
Description: partial 12S ribosomal RNA
Rfam family: Bacterial small subunit ribosomal RNA
Source: RNAcentral
UUUCGGCGUAAAGAGUGGUUAAACUGAUUUUUAACUAAAGCCGAACUCCCUCAGAACUGUUAUACGUACCCGAGGGUAAGAAGCCCCCUUACGAAAGUAGCUUUAAUACUUUUGACCCCACGAAAGCUGCGAAACAAACUGGGAUUAGAUACCCCACUAUGCCCAGCCGUAAACAUUGAUAGCCCCCGUACAAAAGCUAUUCGCCUGGGUACUACGAGCACCAGCUUAGAACCCAAAGGACUUGGCGGUGCUUAAGACCCCCCUAGAGGAGCCUGUUCUAGAACCGAUAACCCCCGUUCAACCUCACCCUUCCCUGGCCAACCCGUCUAUAUACCGCCGUCGUCAGCUUACCCCCUGAGGGUCCUACAGUAAGCAAAAUUGGUU